Molecule: ribosomal RNA, 158 nt
Filed under: Leucophleps spinispora
Lineage: Eukaryota; Fungi; Basidiomycota; Agaricomycetes; Boletales; Leucogastraceae
Description: 5.8S ribosomal RNA
Rfam family: 5.8S ribosomal RNA
About the family: 5.8S ribosomal RNA (5.8S rRNA) is a component of the large subunit of the eukaryotic ribosome. It is transcribed by RNA polymerase I as part of the 45S precursor that also contains 18S and 28S rRNA.
Source: RNAcentral
CAACUUUCAACAACGGAUCUCUUGGCUCUCGCAUCGAUGAAAAACGCAACGAAAUGCGAGAAGUAAUGUGAAUUGCAAAAUUCAGUGAAUCAUCGAAUCUUUGAACGCACCCUGCGCCUCUUGGUAUUCCGAGGGGCACGCCUGUUUGAGUAUCGUGA